AACCAUGCCUGUUAUGUGCACACCCUCACCUGCUAUACUGACCCUGUCCUUCUAAUCUGCUAUACUGUCCCUAUAUCUCUAACCAGUUACACUGUCCCUGUCUGUCUAAACUGUUACACUGUCCCUAUCUGUCUAAACUGUUACACUGUCCCUAUCUGUCUAAACUGUUACACUGGCCCUGUCUCUCUAACCUGUUACACUGGCCCUGUCUAUCUGACCUGUUACACUGGCCCUGUCUCUCUAACCUGUUACACUGGCUCUGUCUCUCUAACCUGUUACACUGGCCCUGUCUCUCUAACCUGUUACACUGGCCCUGUCUCUCUAACCUGUUACACUGGCCCUGUCUAUCUGACCUGUUACACUGGCCCUGUCUAUCUAACCUGUUACACUGGCCCUGUCUCUCUAACCUGUUACACUGGCCCUGUCUAUCUAACCUGUUACACUGGCCCUGUCUAUCUAACCUGUUACACUGGCCCUGUCUAUCUGACCUGUUAUACUGGCCCUGUCUAUCUAACAUGUUACACUGGCCCUGUCUCUCUGAACUGCUGUACUGGCUCUGUUUGUCUAAACUGCUAUAUUGGCCCUUUCUCUCCAAACUGUUACACUGGUCUUGUCUGUCUAAACUGCUACGCUAACCCUGUUUUUCUAACCUGCUACACUGGCCUUUUCUCUCUAACCUGCUGCAUUGUCCCUGUCUCUCAUGCUCUGUCACCUGUAGAACCUGCCUGUCUCCUUUUCUUUAAAAUUCGCAUUGAUUAAAAUACGCUUCCCUUCACUACAAAAAAGUAGUUUCCCAAGUAUUCUGUAAGCUGUGUAAAUGCAGGUAUAUUCUGUAAGCUGUGUAAGGGCUGGUAUAUUCUGUAAGCUGUGUAAGGGCUGGUAUAUUCUGUAAGCUGUGUAAGGGCUGGUAUAUUCUGAAAGCGGUGUAAAGGCUGGUAUAUUCUGUAAACUGUGUAAAGGCUGGUAUAUUCUGAAAGCGGUGUAAAGGCUAGUAUAUUCUGUAAGCUGUGUAAAGGCUGGUAUAUUCUGAAAGCGGUGUAAAGGCUAGUAUAUUCUGUAGGUUGUGUAAAGGCUGGUAUAUUCUGAAAGCGGUGUAAAGGCUGGUAUAUUCUGUAGGUUGUGUAAAGGCUAGUAUAUUCUGUAAGCGGUGUAAAGGCUGGUAUAUCCUGUAAGCUGUGUAAAGGCUGGUAUAUUCUGAAAGCGGUGUAAAGGCUGGUAUAUUCUGUAAGCUGUGUAACGGUGGUAUAUUCUGUAAGCUGUGUAAAGGCUGGUAUAUUCUGUAAGCUGUGUAAAGGCUGGUAUAUUCUGUAGGUUGUGUAAAGGCUGGUAUAUUCUGUAGGUUGUGUAAAGGCUGGUAUAUUCUGAAAGCGGUGUAAAGGCUGGUAUAUUCUGAAAGCGGUGUAAAGGCUGGUAUAUUCUGUAGGUUGUGUAAAGGCUGGUAUAUUCUGUAAACUGUGUAAAGGCUGGUAUAUUCUGUAAGCUGUGUAAAGGCUGGUAUAUUCUGUAAGCUGUGUAAAGGCUGGUAUAUUCUGUAGGUUGUGUAACGGUGGUAUAUUCUGUAAGUUGUGUAAAGGCUGGUAUAUUCUGUAGGUUGUGUAAAGGUGGUAUAUUCUGAAAGCGGUGUAAAGGCUGGUAUAUUCUGUAA
Anguilla anguilla (European eel) is the source of this 1645-nucleotide long non-coding RNA. RefSeq lists it as uncharacterized. NCBI's taxonomy places the organism in Eukaryota, Metazoa, Chordata, Actinopteri, Anguilliformes, Anguillidae. The record is from RefSeq and is a predicted model, not a curated record. The transcript is spliced from 2 exons.